ACAGAAGCAGCCAUUCCCUCAUUUUUGAGAUUUCAAUACAAAUCAGGCUUACAUUUACUUGGUCUUAUUGACAUGGCCACUAAUAAAAGUUCUGUUUUUCUUAUUACCUCCAGGCUGUCAUUGCAGUUUAAGCUCCCCAAGGGCAAAGAUGAUGUCCUGCCCAACUGAGAUUCCAGCAGCACUGGACAUGAGUGCUUUGUCCAAAGUGGACUCAAGCAGAGAGAGAGAGAGAGAGAGGGAACAGCCAUGCAGGAAAUCUGAGGCAGUGUCUCCUGGGUGCAGAACACAAAACAGCAAAGUAACAUCAACGCCAAAAGAAUAAUAAAUACAGAAAUAGAUAGAUAGAUAGAUAGAUAGAUAGAUAGAAAGAUAGAUAGAUAGAUAGAGAUAGACAUGGAAAAACACUGCUUUCAAAGAAUAUACUAAUGACAGUCUGAAGCCCCAGUAAAUAUCCUCCAAGGUUGUAUAUUUGUAUGUUUCCCUCAAAAAGAUGCUUUCUAAACUGCACAGCUGGCUGAAGGUCUUCAUCAAAUAAAAAUAGGGAGAAAAAAUUUCAUCCUUGGUCUUUCAGAGUGAGUUGGAAUACAAAAUAUCUUAAAUAGUCAUUACAGAAAAAAUUUCAAAAUGCAAAUUGAUAUUUCAGUUUUCACUGAAAUAAAGUUAAUCUCUAAAUAAAUGACUUGUAACAUUUUUAAGCAACAGAAUUCCCCCUCCUUUUUCUUUUUUUGAAGAAAUCCUGGCACUGGACCAAGAAAAAAUAAUGUAUAUAAAUGUAUGACUGGGUCACUUUGCUGUACAGUAGAAAUUGACAGAACACUGUAAAUCAAUCAUAAUAAGAAAAUAAAAAAGAGAGAGAGAGAGAGGCACCAGUGGGCUACUUAGAUGCCUAGCUUAGCGGCAGCUCAGAAUCCUCAGGAACUGCCUGGCUUGUAAAUCACUGUGCCAAAAGGGCAUGUCGAUUCUUUCUGAUGAAAGCUUAGAGCUGCCAAUGGAGGCCUGUCCAGUUUACUCUCUGGAACGAUGGUGAGCUUGAGGAAGAUGGUGAGUGGGAACUUAGCAGCAAUGGAGAGUGAUCACUAGCCAUGGGCAUUCCUCUUUCCAGAGACCCCCUGCAUGGAGGCAUAUCUAUUUCCGUGAGGCCUAGGAAUCCAAAUGUUCUUGAUAAUUCUACACAGGGCUUCCUCUUUCUUUCCUGGCAGCAGCUAUAUUUACAAAUGCUUCAUAUCUACUUGGAAGGAAAGCUCUUGUCCCUGUGUCAUAUCUUUGUGUGCACUUAUCCUUCUUUCCUCUCUCUUCUACCUUCCACUUUGAGGAACUUGGAAAAAAAUAUUCUAGAAGAAGAUCAGUGAAGCUUUUGGGGAAAACGGUAUGUGAGCCAAAGAGAAGAGAGGGAAGGUACACCGUCCUCCUAAUUAGGAAACAAUAUAUUAUUCCUUUUUUGGUGUAAUAGCUCCAAAAGUCCUGCCUCAAAGGAAAGAGAUGAAGAGAAGAGUGAAAACUUCUUCCUUUAGUCCAGAAAUAAGGAGUAGAAAAUUAAGACUGUUAUUGAUUAAUCAGAUUCUCUACUUUUGAAAAUUACAAUUAUGGCUUCAAUUACCCCAGCUCCUUUUAUUCAGAUUUCUUUUUGUCACUGUUUAAAACUGAUUUUUUGCAACAUUCUCAUGCUUUAAUGAAAAUUAUAGACUAUAAUUAAAUUGCUCCAAUGCUAUCAUUAUAUAGAUACCAGAUGAAUAAGAUUAGAGUAAACAAAGAUAUAGCUCUUAAAUUAAAAAUUAUUUUAGACAGAACUUUGUCCAAUUGCCUAAAUAUGACAAAUGUAACAAUACUGAAAAUCAAUGAUGCUACAGCUUUAAAUUGGUAAGAUCUUAAUCUUAACUAACACCAUGUUUAUAUGUAAGCAACCAUCUGGAUAAAAUGUUUAAAAUCCAAAAAAAAGUUAAAAAAAAGUCUGAAUCACUUUGUAUACACAAAGCCAAACACUUAGAUAUUUAAAAAUAUCUAGACUAAUGCAUAACAUACUAUCUUGAUAGACAAAUACUUAAAGAAACUUUUCAGUACAGAGGAGAGAUCUGUGUUUAUUGAAGGGAUUUAAUAGCAAGUGAAAUUUGAGUUUUGAUUUGAAAAGGAGCCCCAGCAUUUCUAAUUGGCAGCCAUGUGACCUUGGAUAAGUCAAUUAAAUCUAACAGGCAAUAAUUUUUCAACCUAUAGCAGGGGUAUAAUGAUAGCACCAUUUUGCGAUCUUUCUGAGGAUUCAGUUUGAAUGAAAAAAAAAAAUGGAAGACUACUUGGUGUCCCUCAAGAAAAAAAAUGAAAUGAUAAUUAUAUGACACAAUGAGGUGUCAGCUUAAGCUAUAUUGCUAAUAAUAUUGCAAAUAUAUAAGUAAGAUCAAUACAUUUGUACCCCCUAAACUUAUACAAUGUUAUAUGUAAAUUGUACCUCAAUAAAAAAAUACUGUAGGUCAUCAAAAAAAAUCACGUUCAACUAGAACCUCAGAAUGUGACUUUAUAGGUUCAAUUGUGUCAUUGCAAAAUUCCUAUGUUUAAGUCCUAAACACAAAUAUCUCAGAGUAUGAUCUUAGUAAGAAAUAGGGUCUUCUGAAGAUCCCAAUGCCACAAACGGAGAAGGACAUCUCAAAUGAAAGCCAGCUAGGAGAUUCUAGAAGGCUUGUGUUUCAAGUUUGGGAUUAUCUGCAUGAGAGAGCUAAAAUUAAAAAAGGGGGAAAUAUUAACUCCAUCAAUACUCUACAUGUGCAUGAUGAUAUAUUAUAUUGCAUUGAUACUUAAAUAAAGUUCCCAUCCUUAAAACUUUUGCAGAUUAGUCAGGAAAGGGAUAUGUAAUUCAAUAAUUUACAUUGCCUGGUGAGUGAUGUAACAGAAGCAUGCACAAAUAUAUAGGGGGACUUAAGAAAGGAGCAAAUUUCAUUGUCUAAAACAAAAUCAGGGAGUUCCUGUCAUGGCUCAGUGGUUAACAAAUCCGACUAGGAACCAUGAGGUUGUGGGUUCGAUCCCUGGCCUUGCUCAGUGGGUUAAGGAUCCAGCAUUGCCAUGAGCUGCGGUGUGGGCCGCAGACGCGGCUUGGAUCCUAUUAGACUCCUAUUAGACCCCUAGCCUGGGAACCUUCAUAUGCUGCAGGAGCAGCCCUAGGAAAAGGAAAAAAAAAAAAAAAAUCAAACUGAUAUAUAGAGGAAAGGGGGAUUACUCAACACGAUUUAGCUUCAGAAAACUCUAGGAACUAUCACAUAAUAUUUAGUAAAAACUAGAUAAGAUAAAAGUAUAUCUGAAAAAAUAAAACUAUUUUAUUUACAUCUCAAUUUUUUUGUUUUUGUUUUCUAUUUUUUCUGUUUUGUUAAGAGAGAGAGAGAGAGAGAAAGAAAGAAAGAAAGAAAGAAAGAAAGAAAGAAAGAAAGAAUAAAAAGAAAAAAAGAAAGAAAGAAAGAAAGAGAGAGAGAAAGAAAGCG
This 3458-nucleotide long non-coding RNA is filed under the name Sus scrofa (pig). Its description in RNAcentral is "lncRNA (ENSSSCG00025019988.1)". Lineage: Eukaryota; Metazoa; Chordata; Mammalia; Artiodactyla; Suidae. The record is from RNAcentral.